Long non-coding RNA from Melitaea cinxia (Glanville fritillary), 826 nucleotides. RefSeq lists it as uncharacterized. NCBI's taxonomy places the organism in Eukaryota, Metazoa, Arthropoda, Insecta, Lepidoptera, Nymphalidae. The transcript is spliced from 2 exons. The record is from RefSeq and is a predicted model, not a curated record.
UCGAACCGCGGCCGGCGUCACAUGCGGCUCGGCGGGUUUUCUUUUUACGCGGAGAAAGUAUUUCCCGAGAAGAGCAAGGUGCGGUGGAGGUGCACGCGUCGCACCUGUCGGGCGUACGCGCACACGCUCCACGACCGUAUCUUCGCUCUGAGCAACGUUCACUCACACGAGCCCCCGGCAAUACCUCCGGCCGCUUUGGCUGCGCCUUACCGCGCCUUCACGCACGCAGCCCUAGCCACCCAGGCCAAAGCUGUGCUCGACGAUUAAUCAAAUAACAUAGGCAUAAAAGGAUUUAUGUGAGAAUAAAAUAUUAAGAUUAGGUAUUAUUCUUCAGAAAUCGGAUUGUUUAAUUUGCUGUAAGUAAUGACCGCGGCGUCACUUAUAAUGUGGUUAGAAUUGCACAAACAGGUGACAAGUAAUUUUGCAAGUGCGCUGUGCGGCUUAAGUCUAGUCAAAUCUAGUCAACGACAGAAAUUUUAGUUGCUUCGUCUACACUGAUCUCAAAAAACAUUCUGCUAAUGUACGUAGCUUGUAAUAAAUUUUAAGGUAAACCGUUAAUAAAUUUUAAAGUAAACUUAGCAAUAAUUGUAGAAUAAGUGUGAGGAUUUAAGUUAUAUUAUUGUCGCGAGAGCUUAGUUUAGUAAAUAUGUGUAGUUAGUAUAAUUAGUGUAAUUAUUUAUUGUUGGUAAGCAUACAUAAAAACUUAUAUAAACACAAAACAUAAAAGUAGCUAGCUAUUGAACACUAUAUCACUGUAACACCAGUUUAGCCAAGCAGCUUCAAAGACAGAAAUAAUAAAUUGCUGUGAAAAACAAAUAACGAGAUA